GGGCUCGCAGGCGGUUUUUUAAGUUUGAAUGUGAAAGCCCCCGGCUUCAACCGGGGAGGGUCAUUUGGAAACUGGGGAACUUUGAGUGCAGAAGAGGAGAGUGGAAUUUCCACGUGUAGCGGUGAAAUUGCGUAGAGAUGUGGAGGAACACCAGUGGCGAAGGCGACUCUCUGGUCUGUAACUGACGCUGAGGAGCGAAAGCGUGGGGAGCGAACAGGAUUAGAUACCCUGGUAGUCCACGCCGUAAACGAUGAGUGCUAAGUGUUAGGGGGUUUCCGCCCCUUAGUGCUGCAGCUAACGCAUUAAGCACUCCGCCUGGGGAGUACGGUCGCAAGACUGAAACUCAAAGGAAUUGACGGGGGCCCGCACAAGCGGUGGAGCAUGUGGUUUAAUUCGAAGCAACGCGAAGAACCUUACCAGGUCUUGACAUCCUCUGACAAUCCUAGAGAUAGGACGUCCCCUUCGGGGGCAGAGUGACAGGUGGUGCAUGGUUGUCGUCAGCUCGUGUCGUGAGAUGUUGGGUUAAGUCCCGCAACGAGCGCAACCCUUGAUCUUAGUUGCCAGCAUUCAGUUGGGCACUCUAAGGUGACUGCCGGUGACAAACCGGAGGAAGGUGGGGAUGACGUCAAAUCAUCAUGCCCCUUAUGACCUGGGCUACACACGUGCUACAAUGGACAGAACAAAGGGCAGCGAAACCGCGAGGUUAAGCCAAUCCCACAAAUCUGUUCUCAGUUCGGAUCGCAGUCUGCAACUCGACUGCGUGAAGCUGGAAUCGCUAGUAAUCGCGGAUCA
Molecule: ribosomal RNA, 792 nt
Filed under: Bacillus subtilis
Lineage: Bacteria; Bacillati; Bacillota; Bacilli; Caryophanales; Bacillaceae
Description: bacterial SSU rRNA
Rfam family: Bacterial small subunit ribosomal RNA
Source: RNAcentral